AAUGGGCUAAUCCAAGGCUUCCGGGAUUUCCGCAAUCAAUUGCGGUGGCUCCUUCCGGAUUUUGACGUGAACCUGCUCCAACCGGGAGCAGGGGUCGAGAGGGGUGAUGCGGCCGAGGUGAUCCCCGAAGUCACCGAGGUCGCUUCCGAGGUCGCUCCUGCUGCUGCCGAGGCCGCCGAAGAGGCCCCGAUUGGUGAACCAGCUACUCCUGGUGCUGCUGGAGCCGAAGUAGUCGAGCUUGAGACUUGAUGUAAUUUUUGUUGUUUUUUGUAAAGUCGGGAUGGCCCCCCAUACUUGUAGGGGCUAAACCCGAAUUUUUGUACUUAGCCUACGGGCCUUUUUUGAAAUGAAUAUACUUUCUUGAAAACUCGUCUGCUAAGUUUCUCUGCUCGGAUCCAUUUUAGGUUCCGAGGGUAUGGGCUCUAGGGCCUCAGCUUUAGUCCCACAUCGGGUAAUUAGCGGAAAGGUCUGUUUCUCAAUAGCGUAGCCUGGUCCCUUUAAACAUCUUAAAUGGGGGGUGCAAACACCUCUUCUCACCGAGGGCCCUUUUGCGGGACAAAACCGUGAGGGUAGGGGGCAACCUCCGCGGACCCCCGCGCCGUCAGGGCUCGGGACUGUCAUUGGGCCACGGCCCUGGGCGACCUCACGCAGACCCGAAGCGGCAAUCCCAGAGCGAACAAUACCUCGGGGAGGACGCGGAUGCUUUUCCUGCUCGCUCGGUGUGCGGGCUGGUGUCGGGGUUCCGACCCCACAUCAGAUGGCGCUAGAGGAAGGGCCCCGGCCACGCACAGACCUUCCCGCUCGG
RNAcentral lists this long non-coding RNA (805 nucleotides) under Phoenix dactylifera (date palm). RNAcentral describes it as "long non-coding RNA (PDAC_LNC018062)". The record is from RNAcentral. Lineage: Eukaryota; Viridiplantae; Streptophyta; Magnoliopsida; Arecales; Arecaceae.